Molecule: long non-coding RNA, 205 nt
Filed under: Sorghum bicolor (sorghum)
Lineage: Eukaryota; Viridiplantae; Streptophyta; Magnoliopsida; Poales; Poaceae
Description: long non-coding RNA (SBIC_LNC013239)
Source: RNAcentral
GGGACAUACGAGAAUACAUAGACCUUUAGGCACCAGCACAUGAGCCCAAUGCUACCCAAUACGUAUAAAAUGGAACGAUUCAAAGUAAAAAAGAAUUAUGAUAGCAUGUUUCCAAAUAGGCGAAUAGUAAUGGUGUUUUUCAAAUUUGCAAAAUUGCAAUGACAGCCUUGUUUACUUCUAAAAAAUUUUCAAAAUUUCUCGUCAC